This 253-nucleotide ribosomal RNA is filed under the name uncultured bacterium. RNAcentral describes it as "partial 16S ribosomal RNA". It matches the Rfam family "Bacterial small subunit ribosomal RNA", at positions 524 to 776 of the family's 1533-position model. The record is from RNAcentral.
UACGUAGGGUGCAAGCGUUGUCCGGAAUUAUUGGGCGUAAAGAGCUCGUAGGCGGUUUGUCGCGUCUGCUGUGAAAACUCGGGGCUUAACCCCGGGCCUGCAGUGGGCACGGGCAGACUAGAGUGCGGUAGGGGAGACUGGAAUUCCUGGUGUAGCGGUGAAAUGCGCAGAUAUCAGGAGGAACACCGGUGGCGAAGGCGGGUCCCUGGACAACACCUGACACUGAGGCACGAAAGCCGGGGGAGCAAACAGG